RNAcentral lists this ribosomal RNA (414 nucleotides) under Neocapritermes sp. QH-2002. Its description in RNAcentral is "partial 12S ribosomal RNA". Lineage: Eukaryota; Metazoa; Arthropoda; Insecta; Blattodea; Termitidae. The record is from RNAcentral.
UAAACUAGGAUUAGAUACCCUAUUAUUUUGGAUGUUAAAUGCUUGAGUAGUAUUAGCUAUGUUCUUGAAACUUAAAGAAUUUGGCGGUAUCUCAUUCCUUCCAGAGGAAUCUGUCUCGUUAUCGAUAGUCCGCGUUGGACCUUACUUAGUUUGUAUACCGCCGUUUAUUGAUUAUCUUUUUAGAGUUUUUAAUUUUUUGGUUUCUUUAUUUUGAUUUAUUUCAGGUCAAGGUGCAGCUUGUUUUUAAGUGUAUGAUGGAUUACAUUGUUAUUUGUUUUUGGAUUGUUGAUUUUAAUAUUAAUAUGAAAUUGGAUUUGGUUGUAAUUGUUUGUAAAUUGUUAUUGUGAUAAGUGGUUCUGGGAUAUGUACACAUCGCCCGUCGCUCUCGUGUAAGAGAUAAGUCGUAACAUAGUA